Molecule: ribosomal RNA, 395 nt
Filed under: uncultured bacterium
Lineage: Bacteria
Description: bacterial SSU rRNA
Rfam family: Bacterial small subunit ribosomal RNA
Source: RNAcentral
GUGUCAGCAGCCGCGGUAAUACGUAGGGAGCAAGCGUUGUCCGGAAUCAUUGGGCGUAAAGAGCGUGUAGGCGGUUUGCUAAGUCUGGUGUGAAAUCUUUCGGCUCAACCGGAAGCGGUCACUGGAAACUGGCAGACUUGAAUCCGGAAGAGGAGUGUGGAAUUCCUGGUGUAGCGGUGGAAUGCGCAGAUAUCAGGAGGAACACCUAUGGCGAAGGCAGCACUCUGGUACGUGAUUGACGCUGAGACGCGAAAGCAUGGGGAGCAAACAGGAUUAGAUACCCUGGUAGUCCAUGCCGUAAACGAUGGAUGCUAGGUGUGGGUGGUGUCGAUUCCAUCCGUGCCGAAGCUAACGCAGUAAGCAUCCCGCCUGGGGAGUACGGCCGCAAGGCUAAA